GACGAACGCUGGCGGCGUGCUUAACACAUGCAAGUCGAACGGAAAGGCCCUGCUUUUGUGGGGUGCUCGAGUGGCGAACGGGUGAGUAACACGUGAGUAACCUGCCCUUGACUUUGGGAUAACUUCAGGAAACUGGGGCUAAUACCGGAUAGGAGCUCCUGCUGCAUGGUGGGGGUUGGAAAGUUUCGGCGGUUGGGGAUGGACUCGCGGCUUAUCAGCUUGUUGGUGGGGUAGUGGCUUACCAAGGCUUUGACGGGUAGCCGGCCUGAGAGGGUGACCGGCCACAUUGGGACUGAGAUACGGCCCACACUCCUACGGGAGGCAGCAGUGGGGAAUAUUGCACAAUGGGCGGAAGCCUGAUGCAGCAACGCCGCGUGCGGGAUGACGGCCUUCGGGUUGUAAACCGCUUUCGCCUGUGACGAAGCGUGAGUGACGGUAAUGGGUAAAGAAGCACCGGCUAACUACGUG
This 468-nucleotide ribosomal RNA is filed under the name uncultured bacterium. RNAcentral describes it as "partial 16S ribosomal RNA". It matches the Rfam family "Bacterial small subunit ribosomal RNA", at positions 28 to 507 of the family's 1533-position model. The record is from RNAcentral.